Molecule: transfer RNA, 69 nt
Filed under: marine eukaryotic metagenome
Rfam family: tRNA
About the family: Transfer RNA (tRNA) molecules are approximately 80 nucleotides in length.
Source: RNAcentral
CCAGGUAGCUCAGUCGGUAGAGCAGGGGACUGAAAAUCCCCGUGUCGGUGGUUCAAUUCCACCCCUGGC